Molecule: unclassified non-coding RNA, 427 nt
Filed under: Hevea brasiliensis (rubber tree)
Lineage: Eukaryota; Viridiplantae; Streptophyta; Magnoliopsida; Malpighiales; Euphorbiaceae
Source: RNAcentral
UGUGGUCAUGCAUUUUUAGGCCAUACAGUUUCUAGAACAGUAUUUAAAACAUAUAAAUAUCAUGUUUUUUACAAGUGUUUUAUGGCCAUUAUAAGUUGGCAUGUUACCCAUUUCAUUUAUUGUAUUUAGGGCUGAGCAUCUUUCGGUUCGGUUUGGUUCAGUUCAGUCUUGAGAAUGAAUAACUGAAAUUCCUGGUAUUUGAUGUGAGCUGAACCGAACUGAUCUUAGAGAGGAAACCAAACCAAAUAGUUCACUUUGUUUUUUCAGUUCAAUCUUCAAUGGCUAGAAACUCACCCUCAAUUUGAUAAGACUUUCAAUCAAAUACCCAACAAUUUUCAAUCCCUAUUGGUAUUCAUAAAACUGAUAAACUCUUUCAGAGUUUGAUUAUUUAAUUGCCAUUAUUAAUCAAGAAGAAACUAUUUCUUAG